AUGUUGCCAUUGCUGCAUCGUCUCUAAAUGAAAUUUUUAAGAACGAAAGUCUUCUCUAAAGAUUUUAUGUGGGCCAUUUAAAAAAAGGAACAAAGGAUUUAAGUGAUAAAGUGCCUACAUGAGAAGAUGCCGUAAGGUGAAUGUCAUAAGCAUCGUGAUGAAGCGAUAGGCUACUACUGACCUUCUGAUAAUUCAUCAAAAAAAGGAUCAUCUGACUCCACCACAAGGAUGUCUGGGGGUAAAAGAUACCUCUUUGAUCACUUGAGCCACAAAACACAGCCUCAGUUUAGAAUUAAGAUGCACCAGACUUAGCAACAAAUCUUUCACCUGCCUGCUCAGGUCAGCCUCGGACUGGAGGGCCAGACGGUACUUUGAACCUGAAAGAUGCUAGAACCUGUUUUCACUGGAGUGCCUUGAUGAGUCAUCCAGAUGUCCUCAGCUGAGACCCUCACUCCUGGAGUGCUCUGGGCUCGAGGUGAUGGAGGUGGCACCACUUUUCCCCUUUCUCCUGUGGAAAUGGUAUCCACCAGUUGGCAACUAUUCUUCUUAAUAAAAUU
Zalophus californianus (California sea lion) is the source of this 557-nucleotide long non-coding RNA. RefSeq lists it as uncharacterized. The transcript is spliced from 3 exons. The record is from RefSeq and is a predicted model, not a curated record. NCBI's taxonomy places the organism in Eukaryota, Metazoa, Chordata, Mammalia, Carnivora, Otariidae.